This 316-nucleotide ribosomal RNA is filed under the name uncultured Oscillospiraceae bacterium. Its description in RNAcentral is "partial 16S ribosomal RNA". The record is from RNAcentral. Lineage: Bacteria; Bacillati; Bacillota; Clostridia; Eubacteriales; Oscillospiraceae.
GGAGUCUGGGCCGUAUCUCAGUCCCAAUGUGGCCGUUCAACCUCUCAGUCCGGCUACUGAUCGAAGCCUUGGUGGGCCGUUACCCCGCCAACCAGCUAAUCAGACGUGAGCCCAUCUUUCAGCGGAUUGCUCCUUUGAUACAAAAACGAUGCCGUCUCUGUAUGUUAUGCGGUAUUAGCAGUCGUUUCCAACUGUUGUCCCCCUCUGAAAGGCAGGUUGCUCACGCAUUACUCACCCGUCCGCCACUAAGUGUCAAAAGCAAGCUCUCGACACUCCGUUCGACUUGCAUGUGUUAGGCACGCCGCCAGCGUUCAUC